GACAGCUGAAUAAAUGAUUUAAUGAAUACAAUGGAUGUUCUGAUGCAACUCCCAGAUCUCCCUUCAGAAAUGAAGGUCUAUAUGACAAUAGUGAUAGUUUCGAUAAACGUGGGCUGGAGGAAAGAGUUAAGUAAGUCUAGAGGCAAAGCUUCAGGAAAGAGGAGUAAACGGGAAACCUUCAGAGAAGCAGCAACAAUAAUCGCUGGCCACAGGCAGGCGUUUGAAGUUUUCUCAGGCCACAAGUGUAUGACUCCAAAAAAGCGCGCCGAUGUCUUUUAAUGCUCUGACGUGAGAGAAAAACGUACACUAGUCAGCGAGCACAGCAGCAGAAAAUUUAUGAUUGACCCCGGAAACAUUUAAUUUUGCGUAGGUGUCGGGAGAGCUUUCUUUUGCGAUUUGUUCCUUGAUCCGGAAGAAAAGAUAGCAAAUAUCACUUGCCAUUGGAUUGCAUCAUAAGGGUUGGGCUUUAGCGAGCCAGUCACCUUGGCAACCGGACGUGACGACCCCGGAAGACGCCCGACCGAGCUUUGCUCCAGCUAUCGGCUUCAGUAGGCGGGGCGGCAGAGCCAGACUGACGCAGUCUUCAGCACUGACCAAGCUCUGUUGGGGGCGGUGCCACCAAGACCACGCCCCCUGCGCCUGCUCCGGCUGAGUCUGGAGAGUUGUCGUAGGCUCUGGGGGCGGAGACUCACGCCGAUUCUCUCUGAGCGUAGGGCAGUGAGGGCGCAGUCCACCGCCAGGAGCCUUCCGGUUUCUGGGUGUUGCGCGACCUCGCCCCGAAGCCUGGGGAUACACCCUCUCGAGAGCCCGCUGUCGCCCUCCGUUAAGGUCGAACCCCUCACAGUUGCUGUGGGCAACUCCAGCCCAACAUUCCCUCGCUCUGGUUCUCGCCCCAUUGCGAAACUCGGCCCCACGCUUCCCACUUUCCUGGAUGAGGUGUCCCCUUUCUCCCCACUAAAAUGUCAAAUAACCUACGGAGGGUCUUCCUGAAACCCGCAGAGGAAAAUUCAGGCAACGCCUCGCGUUGUGUUUCAGGCUGCAUGUACCAAGUAGUUCAGACGAUUGGCUCGGAUGGAAAAAAUCUUCUGCAAUUACUUCCAAUUCCUAAGUCUUCUGGAAAUCUUAUACCACUAGUUCAAUCUUCAGUCAUGUCUGAUGCUUUGAAAGGGAAUACAGGAAAACCAGUUCAAGUUACUUUUCAGACUCAGAUUUCCAGCUCUUCCACAAGUGCAUCAGUUCAAUUGCCCAUUUUUCAGCCAGCCAGUUCUUCAAACUAUUUUCUUACAAGAACAGUAGAUACAUCAGAAAAAGGUAGAGUUACUUCUGUGGGAACUGGAAAUUUUUCUUCAUCAGUUUCUAAAGUUCAGAGUCAUGGUGUGAAAAUUGAUGGACUCACCAUGCAAACAUUUGCUGUUCCUCCCUCAACACAAAAAGACUCAUCUUUUAUUGUAGUUAAUACCCAGAGUCUUCCAGUGACUGUGAAGUCUCCAGUUUUGCCUUCUGGGCAUCAUUUACAGAUUCCAGCCCAUGCUGAAGUGAAAUCUGUACCAGCGUCGUCAUUGCCUCCUUCAGUGCAGCAAAAGAUACUUGCAACUGCCACCACCAGUACCUCAGGAAUGGUUGAGGCCUCCCAAAUGCCAACCGUUAUUUAUGUAUCUCCUGUAAAUACAGUGAAAAAUGUAGUUACCAAGAACUUUCAAAACAUUUACCCAAAACCUGUUACAGAAAUAGCAAAGCCAGUAAUACUAAAUACCACACAAAUUCCAAAGAAUGUUGCUACAGAGACACAGUUGAAAGGUGGUCAGCAUUCUCAAGCUGCUCCAGUGAAAUGGAUUUUCCAAGAUAAUCUACAGCCUUUUACGCCAUCUCUUGUUCCUGUUAAGUCUUCAAAUAAUGUGGCUUCAAAGAUUUUAAAAACUUUUGUAGAUAGGAAAAAUUUGGGAGAUAAUGCUAUAAAUAUGCCAUCAUUGAGUACCAUCGAUCCUAGUGGGACGCGAUCCAAAAAUAUGCCUAUUAAAGAUAAUGCUUUGGUUAUGUUUAAUGGGAAAGUCUAUCUGUUGGCUAAAAAGGGGACAGAUGUUCUGCCAUCACAAAUUGACCAACAGAAUUCUGUUUCUCCUGAUACUCCAGUAAGAAAAGACACGUUACAGACAGUGAGUUCAAGUCCAGUCACAGAAAUAUCCAGAGAGGUUGUAAAUAUUGUUUUGGCUAAAAGUAAAUCUUCCCAGAUGGAGACAAAAUCACUUUCCAAUACCCAGCUUGCUUCCAUGGCCAAUCUAAGGGCAGAGAAGAAUAAAGUGGAGAAACCAUCUCCUUCUACCACAAAUCCACAUAUGAACCAAUCCAGUAACUACUUAAAACAGAGUAAGACUUUAUUCACAAAUCCAAUCUUUCCAGUUGGAUUUAGUACAGGACACAAUGCCCCCAGAAAAGUAACAACCGUCAUUUAUGCUAGAAAAGGAAAUGUCCUCCAGAGCAUAGAGAAAAUAAGUUCCUCUGUUGAUGCAACAACUGUUACUUCACAACAGUGUGUUUUCAGAGACCAAGAACCAAAGAUCCAUAAUGAGAUGGCAUCAACAUCAGAUAAAGGUGCCCAAGGAAGAAAUGACAAGAAAGAUUCUCAAGGAAGAAGUAAUAAGACAUUACAUCUGAAGAGUGAUGCUGAAUUUAAAAAGAUAUUUGGCCUUACUAAAGAUUUGAGAGUGUGCCUUACUCGAAUUCCUGACCUUUUGACCUCUGGAGAAGGUUUCGAUUCCUUUAGCAGUUUGGUAAAGAGUGGUACUUACAAAGAGACAGAGUUUAUAGUGAAGGAAGGACAGAGAAAACAGGGUGGACUGCAAGAGACAUUACUGUGGAAAACCUGGAAGGCAAAAGUGAAGCAGCAGCCAUCUUGUAGCUGACCCAUAUUGUCUCUGAUCUACUGACUCAUCUCAUUGGCAUGAAGCAGUGGCCACAUCUGAAACUACUCAAUCAUCCCCUGGAUCUUUCUUCAGCUUCUCUUGCUCCUUGGCCAGAUUUGGAGUCUGAGCCCCAAAGCAGUUAAGAGACUGGCCCAGGUCUGUCAGCUACAUAGGAACCAUCACAAACUUGACUCACUCAGCGGUUGAGGAACAGGAGCAAUGUCAGUCUUUGAGGAAAACGGAAACAGAGGAAUGCAGAGAAAAACGGAAACAGGAAUGCAAAGGGGAAGGAGGACAAAGAAAGAGAGGAAGAAUCACCUACUAUAUGCCCUUCCUGCAUGUACUGUGUUCAUCUGGUGAGUUAUGAAAAGGAAGGAAGAAGAUCUGAAGGGAGGUAGGACAGAGAGGAGGAUGAGGAGCACAUUCCAGAGGAUUCAAGAACUCUCACAGAGGACCUAAGAGAGUCACAGAUCCAAGACAAAGAACCCCUCCCCUCCCACCUCAAGCAUUGUUUGUCUUUAGUGAAAUGGCCCUGUCCUAUCAAUCAUGUAUCCUUUUCUUUUCAGUUUCUUCCUGAGUUGGGAAGGAAGUUUUUUUAUUUCUAUUUUGGUUUCCGUGGCACUAUCAAGAGAAAAUCAUGUGAAUGUGAGGUUUGAGAUUCUCUGAUUCUUUUUGUUGUUGUUGUUUUUUCUGAGACAAAGUCUCACUCUGUCACCCAGGCUGGAGUGCAGUGGUAUGAUCUUGACUCACUGCAACCUCUGCCUCCCGGGUUCAAGUGAUUCUCUUGCCUCAGCCUCCCAAGUAGCUGGGAUUACAGGUGUGCACCACCAUGCCUGGCUAAUUUUUGUAUUUCUAUUAGGGACAGGGUUUUACCUUGUUGGCCAGGCUAGUCUUGAACUCCUGAUCUCAAGUAAUCUGCCCGCCUCAGCUUCCCAAAGCUCUGGGAUUACAGGUGUGAGCCACCGUGCCCAGCUGAGAUUCUCUGAUUCUGAGGUCAGCAUGCAUGCUGGUAUAACCCAGGAAUGCCUUAUCUCACAGUUUUAAAUAGGUAAAAUCAGAUCAUUGAAAAUAUUUUAUCUAGGACUGCAGUAAAUGGAAAAGAAGAUUCAGAACUAACUGGCCUAACAUACUGUGUGCAACCAACCAAUUGAGUGUAAGAUAGACUUGGGUUAUUUUAAAUGAGUUAAGGAAGCCCAAGUCUCAUCUUCAGUACCAUAUUGGUUAAAGCCCACCACGCACCCAACCAAAACGCUCGGGGUGGAUAGACAAUCUCCCCCAACCCCCACAAAAAAACUGCUAAGGCCACAGGCAAGGUCUGAAGCUGAACCCACUUUAGUAUCCUCAACUCCCUUGUGCUGGAUCUGCACCUACUUGAGGUAGUUUUUAGAAGGACUGGUUGGCUGCAGGAAAGCAAGUGGAGAUGGGAAAGCCUACACACAGGCAUGGAAAGCACUGUGUGGCUAUAAUAAUGAGGUAGCUACCAUGAGUAGCCAGAGAGUCCCAAACAAAGCAGGAGCUCUGUUUAUGCAUCAGACUUUGAGCAAGUUGUUCAACAGUUUGCUAUAAACUAUAAAAUGGGAUUUAGGACCGGAGAACGUCACAUGUGCUAAGUAGGUACAAAAAGCAUAUAACUGAAAAGACUGGGAAAUCACUGGUUAUUCAGGGCUGCAGACACUACUUAAAUUUACCAAGGAAUUGCUUUUACUUUGAAGGGAGCACUGGAAACAAAGCUCAGUCUCCUUUGCAGUAUCCUGUAGUGUGUGUGUGUGUGUGUGUGUGUGUGUGUGUGUGUGUGUGUGCAACUGCAUGAAUAAUUAAGCUGUUCCUGCUAUCUGUUCUCAUACCAAUAGCCUUUGGCAAUACACUGAUCACAUGUUUAAACUGAUCCAAUGUCUUGGGAACCAUCUUGUGGAGCAUCAGUUCUAGCUUUCCACGUGGCUUAUAGAGAUAACCUGGAAUCUGUGCUGCCUGGCAGUCCUGGCGCCUAGAGGAUGCCCUGGUUCCCUGAGGAUGCCCAGCAACUGGUGAUUCAGACCCUGAACACAUUGAGUGGAGUAUGGGGAAGGUGCAAAGAGAAAACUUCUCUCCAGCCCCUGCAAAGCACAAAUGAUGGUCUGAGAUCUCAAAGAGAGGGCUUCAGUUCUGACAAAACACAGCCAAACUCCUGGCUGGGGCUGCUGCUAAUGAUGGUGAUGUUCUUUAUCCCAGGCACUGUUCUAAGUGCUGAAAAUAUAGAACUAAAUUUCAUCAUCACAACAACCCUAUGUAGUGAGUACUCUUAUUACAGAUGGAGGCACACUUCACAUGGAGGCACAGAGAUGUGAAAUAACUUAUCCAUGAUAAUCAUCUAAAAAGUGGAAGAGAUGAAAUUUAGACUCACUCUAGAUCUCUUGUACCUAAACGCUAACACUGCCUGUCAUGGAGCCUGAGUACGUAGGCUCAUGUGCAUCAUCUCACAGAGGCAGGAAGAUAAAAGUUUUCACAGGGCGGCCUUUCAUCCUGCUUUUAACUUCAGGGAAAGUGAGGCCUGCUUUGUUGCUUGGUGAGGGUACAAUCCCAUGAAGAGUCACACUCUCUGACAACUUUCUAUAUCAUCUCCUGAACUUGCCUUCACGCUGCUACUUUUAUGUGCACAGGGCAUUACCUCUUCCCCUCUACCAGGCAGUUACAUUUCUGCUGCGGGACUGCCUCACCACCUGGAUGCAGGUCAGAGCCCCAUGAUGGAGAAUGGAAAGCCAAGUGAAAGUGCGAGAGAAUUAACUAGAAAGACAGUGAAGCCUGUGAGAGCAUGGGCUGUAAAACUAAACAGUCUGGCUUCAAUUGCUGCUCAGCCACAAAGACAUUUAGCAAAGGCAAGUUGGACAAUCUUUAAGGGAAAAACAAGUCUACCGUCUCCAGGUCUGUGCAGAAAGAGGCCUUCAAGGGCAGCAGAGAAGCCAGUGAUACUGACCUCCCAUCCUAGCAUGCAACCACUCUCUCCUCCCUUAUCUCCUCAGCAGAAGAGAGCAAAUUUUAAAAGGGUAUUAUUGAAAAAGCUAGAGGUGUGAACUCUGCUAACAUGCUCUUAUGUUAACUCUGCUCACAUAAGGCAGCUUGACUCUAGAGCCACAGCCCAGCAAAUUGCACAAUAUGUCUGUAAAUGAUGUUGGCACAGGGCUGAGCCCAGGGAAUGUGCUCAGUAAGUGGCAGUGCUUUCUCCUCAUCCUCUCCUCUCCAGCUCUUUCUCAUCUACUCCCUCCUUUCCUUCCAAAUAUGCCCAGCACAGUUAGUGUUGUCUAUAGGUAAAUGGAAGGAAUCUGCUCCCCAUCACUGGAGAUGUUCAAUGAGAAAAACAUGUGAAGACAACUAAAGGAGACUAAAUCAGUAGAGAAUUAUUUGGAUCUGAUGAUUUUAAACAUUCCUUUCAAACUUAAGAUUUUUUUUCCUAAUUGAGAAGCAUUUCAUUCCCCCAGGACACACACAUAAAGCAAAUUCAGGCAAAAGGUAAGAGGCUUAUCACAAAGCCAAGAAAAAACACAAGUACUCGGUGAAUUAUCCUGGGCUUUGUAACUUCCACUAACAACAACAAAAAGCAGAGGAGGAUUCAGGGGCUAUCUGAAUAGGAUCUACCCUCUUAGCUGAAUUAAGUGGUCAGUGAACUAACCAAUCCAUUUAGCCAGCAUCUAGCUGAUGAUAAGGACAGUUAACUCAUGCCAGGUGCUGGUCAGUUCAAGUGAACAAUUGGGCAACCAGAUAGACAAAUAAUUUGAUUUUGCCACCAAACCAGCAUGGAAUAGUUUAUUUAAUAUAGUAGGCAAUUGUACACACGGACUCAUCUAGCAAAUUAAGGACUCAAAACAGGAAAAAGUCAAGUGUACACCAUCAGAAUAGAUGAGCUUUACCUGUCAGUGCCUUACAGGAACCCACUCCCAAUUUGGGGAGCCAGGCCACAAAGACUAUGGCGUGUCCACCUCCCCUGGAUUUGUAGAACUGGGCUAGAUGUCUGGAAUCCAGCUUUUAUCCAGAAAUAUGCCACGUGGUGCACUUGACAAAAACCACGUCAGAGCUGUCUCUCCCCAUGAACGUAGGAGGAUACUUGAGUUUGGGCCUCAUUUCUCAACCUUCUUUUUUCCAUAUAAACUUGAGUCCCUUUGUGGGCAAAGCCAUCAUCUCCCCUGAUAACUGGUGCUCGUGGGCAUUUCCCAAAUGACUCUGGCGGGAAAUUGUUGUUUACCUUACAAAUUCUAUGAAACCAAGGUACCUUCACCUUAAAGAAAAUGUUUUUUUCCUCCUUGCUUUGCAUUAAGCUUUUACUUUGAUAAUGACUCUUUUUACUUAUAUGACCUUUAUAAAGAGAUUUAAUUGAAAAUAAGUGAUUAUGCUGUGCUUUAGGGGAACGGAUUAAAAGAAUAUUUUGAAGGAAGUAUUCAAUUUGUUUCUACCUCCUGAAAGAAAAAUUACUGUGUAUCUCCUUAUUGUCACACGUUUGGUAGGGAACUGAAACAAUUAUCUGCAAUAGUAAACAUUUAUUGUCAAAGCCAUCAAUUAAGAUUCUAAAGAACUUGUGUCCUCCUGGAUUCCUGUCAUUGAUUAAAAAUAGUGACUGAAGGGCCUGGCACGGUGGCUCACGACUGUAAUCCCAGCACUUUGCGAGGCCAAGGCGGGUGGAUCACGAGGUCAGGAGUUCAAGACCAGCCUGGCCAACAUGAUGAAACCUCGUCUCUACUAAAAAUACAAAAAAAAUUAGCUGGGUGUGGUGGCAGGUUCCUGUAAUCCAAGCUACUCGGGAGGCUAAGGCAGGAGAAUUGUUUGAACUUGGGCAGCAAAGGUUGCAGUGAGCCAAGAUCAUGCCACUGCACUCUGGCCUGGGUGACAGACUAAGAUUCUGUCUCAAAAAAAAAAAUAAAUAAAUAAAUAAAAAACAGUGACUGAGGCUAGUUCUGUUCUAGGAAAUGUAAGUUUGUGAUGGAAACCUUAUGGAAUUAAAGUUCUUAUUUAUUGACAGGCAUUAGCAAACUGGAGAGACAUUUGCUCAAACUAACAAAUUAACACAGCUCUCCAAUAAGUGAAACAAAAGAAACAAUGAUGAAAUAAACACUAAAUUGAAACUAUCUCAUUUGUUCUUUAGAACUAAAGGUUUUUUUUGUCUAUGGUAUAGUACCCAGACUUCCUGCAAUCUUGUCCUUAUUGAUAUCUAUUUACUACAUAUCUAAUGUAUGCCAGCAUAUCUUUCUAUCAUCCUCACAACCCCUCUGCAUGUUGUCAAUUUGACAAAUGAGGACAUCCAGGCUCUGAGAGAGUUCCUCAUGAGAAUUCUCCAGGCAGAGGACUGUGAGGGAGCUGGGAGCAAACUGCACGUCUCAUGAAGACAGAGUGUGUCUGUCUCAUUACUACUCCGUACUUAGGUCCUAUCUUGGAGCCUGUCACAUAGCAAGGGAUUAAGAUUAAUCACUUAGAGGAAUGGACAAAUAUGGAGCAAAUGUCUGACUCCUUCAAAUCUAGUGUCCUUUCCAUUUUAGCAAACUGCACAAAUGGUAUUGUCAGCAAGUCAGUUUAGAGGAAGGACUCUAGAGCCUGAAUUGAAGCUGAAUAGGUGUUAGAAGCAGUAAUGAUGCUAAAAAGAUUUUAAAUGGCAAAAGAUACUUUUUAAAAGUCAAAGACCACUGAUCAAAACACAAAGAUUAUUUUAUUUAGAGCAAGACCAUUUCAGAGAAGCUGUUUCAAGCAUUUCAGCUAUUUAGUUAUUUUGCAGAAAGGCUAUUUUUCAAUUUCUAAGAGAUCAUUCUACUUUUAGAAAUAAGAGAUAUUUAUUUUUUGAAACCAAGCCACUAAUACACAUUUAUUCAGGAAUAGACAUUUCAAAUAUAUUCUGCAGAGGGUACAGAUUCAGAUAAAUACUUGACUCUUAACCCAUAUAGCAUAAUAUAAGAAGCAAUUAUAACUGAUCCUUUGACUUCAGAAAAGAUUACAAUUAUAAUCUUUACAUACCAUUUGUCUUUAAAAGGUGAAAAUAAUCUAAUAAGAAAAUAUAAAGGGCUGAAAUAAAAGGAUUUUUGAGCCUAAUGUGUCAACUUCAGAUAUUCACAUGAUUGUGAACGUGACUAUGUGGAUAUAAUGAAAAGUUAACUAUUUUUGGCUGCCUGUUACUUUUUUUUUCUCUUUUGCCUCAUCCUGUAAUAGCACCAAGUCCUAUUUUAUCUCAGAGAAUCUGUAAUUGUUGACUCUGCCUAGAACAUGCCCUGCUUUUAUUUCUGCAUGAUGUGUAUCAUUAUUUCCCUGCAUUUUUUUUAUUUCCUUGGUAAUUGACUGCAUCUACUACUAGACUAUAAUCCCACAAGAGCAGGGAACUCUUCCACCUUGUCUGAUACUGUAUCCCAGUGCCAAGAACAGUAUCUAUCACAUAGUAGAUAAUAAUUAUUUGCAGGAAAUAAUGAGAACAAAAAAUCAAUGAUACUACCUUGAAGUUUGAAGUUGUUCUUAAGAAUUGGGUUCCCAAGGCCAGCUGUUAGAGGUUGGUUAUCUUCCUCAGGGACUUUGUCUUCAGGGGAAAAAUUAUGCUUCUGUGCCUAACCAGCCAAGUUGUCCUCAUGUGCAUAUCACAGACAGAGGCAGUGUGGACCACACAACCCUGCUUCUUAGCUUUUCUAGAAAGAAUUACUUUAAAAUAGACAUGUGAAUAUUAAAUAAAUAUAUUACUCACAUUGUACAAAUUUUAGGUAAAGAUAAAUAUUUUAAAAUAGUAUAUACAAACACCAGCUACAGACUAGUUUCUCAAAGAUUAUUUUAGUUGUUGUCUGGGCCUCAAUAGCAAACUUAACCUGAAUCUUUGCUUAGAGCCAGGGCACUGUGGGGAAUGUGGACUGUUCUAGCACUUGGGCUUCAGGCUUCCUUGAUAAGUGGUUCUAGUUCAAUCUCACUUUGCUGUUUAUAUCCUGUGACAGAGAGUUACUAAUUAACUGUUAAUUGACUUGUGAGCAUUGCCAUACCCAAAAGUUAACAGAUGGAGAAAGGAAGGUGAAUUUCUUUUUGCUUUGUAAGACUUCAAUCUCUUUUUGCUUUGUAAGGCUUCAUUGCAAAAUUUGUCUUAAUCUUUAUUUCUUGCUAUUUUCUUGUGAAAAGGAAGAGGACACUGAACUAUUUCUCAAGGUGACUCCUUGCACCUACAUGAAUUGGUGGGUCCUUUCCAAUCAGGAAAGACUUUCCUGGCAACCAUGGCUCUAAUUCAUUUGUUCCAAAUUUAUCUUUCUAAACCCAUUCUCCAGACAUUGUACUUAAGAGUUCUGAGGGAAAGGACCUGCUUGCCUACAUAAUUAUUAGGGUUCCAUUUGGAUUGUAUCUUCAUUCUUUUAUUGGCUGUGUACACUGUGCUAAUUUGAUACUGCAGACAGAAAAUUAUGGAGGUACACUGCUUGCCAUCCUGUUAUUUGUAGUCCGAUUAGGGAAGUUGACGUAAAAACAUCUAGAUAAUAAUAAAAGGAGAGGUUAGUACAACGUUUUAAAAAGAAAACUGAAACACAAGUAAGUUAGGAAAAAAAAUUGUCUUGAGUUCACCUAUUUCAUCAUCAAUAGAACUAUAGAACCCAGUUCUGACUCCAGCUUCUGUAUACUGGACACAAGAUUACAAAUAACCAAGGAAUUGACUAGUCUUCUUAUAGAUUCUUUGCCACUGGUUUCCUUUCCUAGAAGUUGUAGAAAUCUUUGCCACAGGAAAAUUGUGAAACACUCUCCCCCAGUUUCUUGCUCCUGUUUGAUAGCCAGAUCCAGGAAGCAGAGUGGAAGUAGACAGAGCUCCAGAAGGUCCUCACACAGUCACCACCUCUAGGUCCCCCUUCCUGACUGCUGUGCCCUGACAGGACGGUGGGGCUACAGUGCACAUGAUUGCCUUAUCCAGCUUGGUCUUUUACCUCCAAGUUACCACCAGAUAACAAGGACUUCACCAUAGAAGCAAAUCAGAUUUCUCUUUAUUAUAUUUUUACAAAAAUAAAAAGUCCAUACUACCCAAAGUGAUCUACAGAUUCAAUUCAAUCCCUAUCAAAAUACCAAUGACAUUUUUUACAGAAAUAGAAAAAAAGCAAUCCUAAAAUGCAUAUUAAACCACAAAAUACCCUAAAUAGCUAAAGCUUUCUUGAGAAAAGAGAACAAAACCGGAGGCAUCACACUACCUGACUUUAAGAUAUGCUACAAAGCAAUAGUAACCAAACAGCAUGCUUCUGGUAUAAAAACAGACAUAUAGACAAAUGGAACAGAAUAGAAUGCUCAAAAUAAAUUCACACAUUUACAGCCAACUCAUUUUUGACAAAGGUGCCCAGAGCACACCUUGGAGAAAGGACCGUCUCUCCAAUAAAUGGUGCUGGGAAAACUGGAUAUCCAUAUGCAGAAGGAUGAAACUAGACCCCUCUCUCUCACCACUUACAAAAAUCAACUCGAAACUGAAUAAAGAUUUAAAUGUAAGAUCCAAAGCUAUGAAACUACUGGAAGAAAACAUGACAUUGGUUUGGGCAAGAAUAUUUUUUAAUAAGACCUCAGAAAGAGACAACAAGAACAAAAAUAGACAAAUGGAGUGACAUCAAACUAAAAAGCUUCUGCACAGCAAAGGAAACAACAGGAUGAAAAGACAGCCUGCAAAAUGGGAGAAAAUAUUCUCAAACUAUGCAUCUUACAAGCUGUUAAUAUCCAGAGUAUAUAAACAAUUCAAACAACUCAUAGCAAAAGAACAAAUAAUUUUUAAAAUGAGCAAAAAUCUGAAUAGACAUUUCAGAUAUUUGACCCAAGACAAACAGCCAACAUUAUUUGAAGAAAAUGCUCAACAUCACUAAUCACUGGGGAAAUGCAAAUCAAAAUCACCAUAUCACCCCAGGUCAGUUAGAAUGGCU
Pongo pygmaeus (Bornean orangutan) is the source of this 11752-nucleotide RNA transcript. It is a transcript of the gene named ligand dependent nuclear receptor interacting factor 1, with no coding region annotated. The record is from RefSeq and is a predicted model, not a curated record. NCBI's taxonomy places the organism in Eukaryota, Metazoa, Chordata, Mammalia, Primates, Hominidae. The transcript is spliced from 6 exons.